GACAGAUAGCUCAGUGGGUAGAGCAUGAGGCUCUUAAUCUCAGGGUCUUGGGUUUGAGCCCCACAUUGGGCA
RNAcentral lists this transfer RNA (72 nucleotides) under Podarcis lilfordi (Lilford's wall lizard). Its description in RNAcentral is "tRNA.Lys". The stretch from base 7 to 64 matches the Rfam family "tRNA", at positions 8 to 63 of the family's 71-position model. From Rfam's summary of the family: Transfer RNA (tRNA) molecules are approximately 80 nucleotides in length. Their secondary structure includes four short double-helical elements and three loops (D, anti-codon, and T loops). The record is from RNAcentral. Lineage: Eukaryota; Metazoa; Chordata; Lepidosauria; Squamata; Lacertidae.